UAGGGAAUCUUCCGCAAUGGGCGAAAGCCUGACGGAGCAACGCCGCGUGAGUGAUGAAGGUCUUCGGAUCGUAAAACUCUGUUAUUAGGGAAGAACAAAUGUGUAAGUAACUAUGCACGUCUUGACGGUACCUAAUCAGAAAGCCACGGCUAACUACGUGCCAGCAGCCGCGGUAAUACGUAGGUGGCAAGCGUUAUCCGGAAUUAUUGGGCGUAAAGCGCGCGUAGGCGGUUUUUUAAGUCUGAUGUGAAAGCCCACGGCUCAACCGUGGAGGGUCAUUGGAAAAUGGAAAACUUGAGUGCAGAAGAGGAAAGUGGAAUUCCAUGUGUAGCGGUGAAAUGCGCAGAGAUAUGGAGGAACACCAGUGGCGAAGGCGACUUUCUGGUCUGUAACUGACGCUGAUGUGCGAAAGCGUGGGGAUCAAACAGG
RNAcentral lists this ribosomal RNA (429 nucleotides) under Actinomycetes bacterium. RNAcentral describes it as "Actinobacteria bacterium partial 16S ribosomal RNA". It matches the Rfam family "Bacterial small subunit ribosomal RNA", at positions 355 to 776 of the family's 1533-position model. Lineage: Bacteria; Bacillati; Actinomycetota; Actinomycetes. The record is from RNAcentral.